RNAcentral lists this ribosomal RNA (324 nucleotides) under uncultured eukaryote. RNAcentral describes it as "partial 18S ribosomal RNA". It matches the Rfam family "Eukaryotic small subunit ribosomal RNA", at positions 1470 to 1796 of the family's 1831-position model. The record is from RNAcentral.
CCCUUAGAUGUUCUGGGCCGCACGCGCGCUACACUGAUGCAUUCAACAAGUUCACCUUGGCCGAGAGGCUUGGGCAAUCUUUUGAACAUGCAUCGUGAUAGGGAUAGAUUAUUGCAAUUAUUAAUCUUGAACGAGGAAUUCCUAGUAAACGUAGAUCAUCAAUCUGCAUUGAUUACGUCCCUGCCCUUUGUACACACCGCCCGUCGCACCUACCGAUUGAAUGGUCCGGUGAAGCCUCGAGAUUGUGGCCAGCUCGCUUUAUUGGGAGUUGGUUGCGAGAACUUGUCUAAACCUUAUCAUCUAGAGGAAGGUGAAGUCGUAACA